This 1326-nucleotide ribosomal RNA is filed under the name Microbacterium sp. MH150. Its description in RNAcentral is "bacterial SSU rRNA". It matches the Rfam family "Bacterial small subunit ribosomal RNA", at positions 94 to 1432 of the family's 1533-position model. The record is from RNAcentral. Lineage: Bacteria; Bacillati; Actinomycetota; Actinomycetes; Micrococcales; Microbacteriaceae.
AGUGGCGAACGGGUGAGUAACACGUGAGCAACCUGCCCCUGACUCUGGGAUAAGCGCUGGAAACGGCGUCUAAUACUGGAUAUGUGACGUGACCGCAUGGUCUGCGUCUGGAAAGAAUUUCGGUUGGGGAUGGGCUCGCGGCCUAUCAGCUUGUUGGUGAGGUAAUGGCUCACCAAGGCGUCGACGGGUAGCCGGCCUGAGAGGGUGACCGGCCACACUGGGACUGAGACACGGCCCAGACUCCUACGGGAGGCAGCAGUGGGGAAUAUUGCACAAUGGGCGCAAGCCUGAUGCAGCAACGCCGCGUGAGGGACGACGGCCUUCGGGUUGUAAACCUCUUUUAGCAGGGAAGAAGCGAAAGUGACGGUACCUGCAGAAAAAGCGCCGGCUAACUACGUGCCAGCAGCCGCGGUAAUACGUAGGGCGCAAGCGUUAUCCGGAAUUAUUGGGCGUAAAGAGCUCGUAGGCGGUUUGUCGCGUCUGCUGUGAAAUCCGGAGGCUCAACCUCCGGCCUGCAGUGGGUACGGGCAGACUAGAGUGCGGUAGGGGAGAUUGGAAUUCCUGGUGUAGCGGUGGAAUGCGCAGAUAUCAGGAGGAACACCGAUGGCGAAGGCAGAUCUCUGGGCCGUAACUGACGCUGAGGAGCGAAAGGGUGGGGAGCAAACAGGCUUAGAUACCCUGGUAGUCCACCCCGUAAACGUUGGGAACUAGUUGUGGGGUCCAUUCCACGGAUUCCGUGACGCAGCUAACGCAUUAAGUUCCCCGCCUGGGGAGUACGGCCGCAAGGCUAAAACUCAAAGGAAUUGACGGGGACCCGCACAAGCGGCGGAGCAUGCGGAUUAAUUCGAUGCAACGCGAAGAACCUUACCAAGGCUUGACAUAUACGAGAACGGGCCAGAAAUGGUCAACUCUUUGGACACUCGUAAACAGGUGGUGCAUGGUUGUCGUCAGCUCGUGUCGUGAGAUGUUGGGUUAAGUCCCGCAACGAGCGCAACCCUCGUUCUAUGUUGCCAGCACGUAAUGGUGGGAACUCAUGGGAUACUGCCGGGGUCAACUCGGAGGAAGGUGGGGAUGACGUCAAAUCAUCAUGCCCCUUAUGUCUUGGGCUUCACGCAUGCUACAAUGGCCGGUACAAAGGGCUGCAAUACCGCGAGGUGGAGCGAAUCCCAAAAAGCCGGUCCCAGUUCGGAUUGAGGUCUGCAACUCGACCUCAUGAAGUCGGAGUCGCUAGUAAUCGCAGAUCAGCAACGCUGCGGUGAAUACGUUCCCGGGUCUUGUACACACCGCCCGUCAAGUCAUGAAAGUCGGUAACACCUGAAGCCGGUG